GACGAACGCUGGCGGCGUGCUUAACACAUGCAAGUCGAGCGGUAAGGCCCUUUCGGGGGUACACGAGCGGCGAACGGGUGAGUAACACGUGGGUGACCUGCCCUUAGCUCUGGGAUAAGCCUGGGAAACUGGGUCUAAUACCGGAUAUGACUCCAUAACGCAUGUUGUGGGGUGGAAAGCCUUGUGCGGCUAGGGAUGGGCCCGCGGCCUAUCAGCUUGUUGGUGGGGUGAUGGCCACCAAGGCGACGACGGGUAGCCGGCCUGAGAGGGCGACCGGCCACACUGGGACUGAGACACGGCCCAGACUCCUACGGGAGGCAGCAGUGGGAAUCUUGCGCAAUGGGCGAAAGCCUGACGCAGCGACGCCGCGUGGGGA
Molecule: ribosomal RNA, 376 nt
Filed under: uncultured bacterium
Lineage: Bacteria
Description: bacterial SSU rRNA
Rfam family: Bacterial small subunit ribosomal RNA
Source: RNAcentral